Molecule: ribosomal RNA, 373 nt
Filed under: uncultured fungus
Lineage: Eukaryota; Fungi
Description: eukaryotic LSU rRNA
Rfam family: 5.8S ribosomal RNA (bases 1-71)
Source: RNAcentral
GUGAAUCAUCGAAUCUUUGAACGCACCUUGCGCUCCUUGGUAUUCCGAGGAGCACGCCUGUUCGAGUGUCUUGAAAUUCUCAAGCUGGAUAGCUUUAUUGUUAUCUUGGUUUGGUUUUGGGCUCUGCCGUCUCCUCUUUUGUGAACGGCUGGCCUUAAAAGUAUUAGCUGACCCUUGUUGUGGGAUUGGUUCUACUCAGUGUGAUAAUUUUAUGAUCGCUGAGGACAUCUUUCGGGAUGGCCAGUUUUGCCUAGGAUCGCUUCUUAAUCCUGGUAUUUGGAGUCCGCUCCUUAUCCUUAAUUUUUCAACUUUGACCUCGAAUCAGGUUGGGACUUACCCGCUGAACUUAAGCAUGAUCAAUAACGCUGGACGG